CAAUAGCGUAUAUUAAAGUUGUUGCAGUUAAAAAGCUCGUAGUUGGAUUUGUGGCGUACGGUGUGUUCCGGGCACUUGUUGCCUGAGUAACCUGCUGUUGCCAUCCUUGGGUGGAACCUGUGUGGCAUUAGGUUGUCGUGCAGGGGAUGCCCAUCAUUUACUGUGAAAAAAUUAGAGUGUUCAAAGCAGGCUUAUGCCGUUGAAUAUAUUAGCAUGGAAUAAUGAGAUAGGACUUUUUUGCUAUUUUGUUGGUUUGCGCAAAGAGGUAAUGAUUAAUAGGGACAGUUGGGGGUAUUCGUAUUCCAUUGUCAGAGGUGAAAUUCUUGGAUUUCUGGAAGACGAACUACUGCGAAAGCAUUUACCAAGGAUGUUUUCAUUAA
RNAcentral lists this ribosomal RNA (380 nucleotides) under uncultured eukaryote. Its description in RNAcentral is "partial 18S ribosomal RNA". It matches the Rfam family "Eukaryotic small subunit ribosomal RNA", at positions 592 to 976 of the family's 1831-position model. The record is from RNAcentral.